This 755-nucleotide long non-coding RNA is filed under the name Anas platyrhynchos platyrhynchos (common mallard). Its description in RNAcentral is "lncRNA (ENSAPLG00000023934.1)". Lineage: Eukaryota; Metazoa; Chordata; Aves; Anseriformes; Anatidae. The record is from RNAcentral.
GGAAAAUGUGUUUAAAAAGAAGAAUUCAAGACGUAUGCUGGCAUCUGAGGCAGUCACCAACACGCAGAAACGGAGCCCUGGGUGUUAGAGGAGAGGCUGGGAAUUGCAAGCACCCUGUGACAGACACUUGCUCCUAUGAGGGUAGAAGACAUCCUGACUGUUUCACAAAUGACAGGCUUGACAGAAGGGGGAUUGGAGCCCUCAGUCUCUCUGUGGAAGAUAGCCUCAAUACUGCCCAUCAGGCUAACACAAAUGCAAGCAAACAAGGCAAAUGUCUUUACAUGAGAAAGCAGCUGGCUGAUGACGUCCCACAACUGAAGACAUAGACCACUGCAAACAGGCAGCAGGCUGCAAGGAAGGUGCAUGGAGACAUUGUCAGGCAAGGACUUGCCCUACAGCACAGCACUGGCAGCCUAAAGCACGGGGAUUAAUUUUACCAUGCGUACUUUCACUGGACUGAAACCAACUUGCACACUAUGCCAGCAUCCCCUCCAAGGCAGGUUCACCCUGGGGUGUGAUUCACAUGGCUGAUGCAUUUCUGACCACGAAGCUUUAGCACCAGUUCCCCCCUAGGACUGGGGGAAAGGAGAGCCAAAUGUUGUUCCCCUCUCAAAAUCUCUUUUCACCAAGAAAUCAACUCUGUGGUGAAGCCAUCUGUUGUGAGAAGUGUUUGCUUAUGAUUAACAAAUCUCCAUAUUGUAAGGAAACCAAAUCUCUAUAUUAAAAAAUAAAUCUUUUUAAAGGGAAAAUAAACA